RNAcentral lists this non-coding RNA (31 nucleotides) under Drosophila melanogaster (fruit fly). RNAcentral also lists the same sequence under 8 other names. Lineage: Eukaryota; Metazoa; Arthropoda; Insecta; Diptera; Drosophilidae. The record is from RNAcentral.
ACCGCCUGGGAAUACCGGGUGCUGUAGGCUU